CCUGCCUCAGCCUCCCAAACACUGGGACUACAGAUGAGAUCUCCUCCAUAACUUCUUGCUGCUGGGAGAUGAUCACCCACAAUUCUGCAGCCAGAGAUAAGAGAGAUGGGGGACUGCUGGCCAUUGGCUCAGUUGUGAUCAUGUGCCGUGCUACUGGUAUUGCAAAACAUCGCUUGUUCGUCAAGUUAAAUUUUAUUAGAAAUGUUGGCUCAUCUCGCAGAAUACUCGCAGAACAAGUUACAACUCAAGCUUUUACUGUAUAUAUAUGAGAAAAUUAUAUAUUUCUAAGAUCAA
Molecule: long non-coding RNA, 294 nt
Organism: Chinchilla lanigera (long-tailed chinchilla)
Lineage: Eukaryota; Metazoa; Chordata; Mammalia; Rodentia; Chinchillidae
Exons: 2
Source: RefSeq, a predicted model, not a curated record